UACGGGGGGGGCAAGCGUUGUUCGGAAUUACGGGGCGUAAAGGGUGCGUAGGCGGCGCGGUAAGUCGGGUGUGAAAUCUUGGAGCUUAACUCCGAAACUGCAUUCGAUACUGCCGUGCUUGAGGACUGGAGAGGAGACUGGAAUUUACGGUGUAGCGGUGAAAUGCGUAGAUAUCGUAAGGAAGACCAGUGGCGAAGGCGGGUCUCUGGACAGUUCCUGACGCUGAGGCACGAAGGUCAGGGGAGCAAACGGG
This 253-nucleotide ribosomal RNA is filed under the name uncultured bacterium. RNAcentral describes it as "partial 16S ribosomal RNA". It matches the Rfam family "Bacterial small subunit ribosomal RNA", at positions 524 to 776 of the family's 1533-position model. The record is from RNAcentral.